CUUGGGCACACAUUUCAAAAUAUUUUACAUUUUUUAAAACGACGCGUUUAGAAUGCCAGUCGACUUGUAAGCAAGUCUGAGUAAGAUAUUCCAGCCACGUUUGAGAAAAUUUACAUAAGCUGUCAGCGUGUCUAUUAGUCUUGAUAACUUUAAUACUAGUUUAAUACAGGUUUAGCAUCGGAAGCACGCGUGGGCCGCAGGGUCCUUAACCCCGCGAACCACAACCUAUAUCACGUUUUGUAAAUAAACAUAUAGGAAAUACCGGUUCACUGGAAAACUACUCACAUCUGAGGUCGGCGUAGGUCGGGAGGCCACGGGUCUCAUUGAGCAACACUUAAUUCUCGUCCUACUGACAUAUCAGCUGGAUAGUUUAGGGCGGUUAAUAGUUCGUUGUACUGCCCAGAGAUGCAUGUACAUAGUGUUCUGUUCCGCCUAAAAGAUAUCAUACGAAUUCCGCUACAAAUUCCGACAUUAAGGCAGCUUCGACCGAUCGCGAAACAUGCUUUACAAACAGGUAAAGUGUAGUAAAUUUACUUUUAAAUUUUUAAUGUGAAUAUUGGGAAAUUACAGUGCAAAGGCCGUUCACGGCUGGCGCUUUGCCGCGAUAGUUCACGUUACAUUUAUUCCGAUUUAAUUUAUCGCGCAUAGACACAGGUAUAUAUUUAUAGUGUGAAAU
Molecule: non-coding RNA, 676 nt
Organism: Paramuricea clavata
Lineage: Eukaryota; Metazoa; Cnidaria; Anthozoa; Malacalcyonacea; Plexauridae
Source: the annotation of a GenBank genome assembly